RNAcentral lists this ribosomal RNA (604 nucleotides) under Brevibacterium sp. CMT23. Its description in RNAcentral is "bacterial SSU rRNA". It matches the Rfam family "Bacterial small subunit ribosomal RNA", at positions 271 to 885 of the family's 1533-position model. The record is from RNAcentral. Lineage: Bacteria; Bacillati; Actinomycetota; Actinomycetes; Micrococcales; Brevibacteriaceae.
AGACGACGACGGGUAGCCGGCCUGAGAGGGCGACCGGCCACACUGGGACUGAGACACGGCCCAGACGCCUAMGGGAGGCAGCAGUGGGGAAUAUUGCACAAUGGGGGAAACCCUGAUGCAGCGACGCAGCGUGCGGGAUGACGGCCUUCGGGUUGUAAACCGCUUUCAGCAGGGAAGAAGCGCAAGUGACGGUACCUGCAGAAGAAGUACCGGCUAACUACGUGCCAGCAGCCGCGGUAAUACGUAGGGUACGAGCGUUGUCCGGAAUUAUUGGGCGUAAAGAGCUCGUAGGUGGUUGGUCACGUCUGCUGUGGAAACGCAACGCUUAACGUUGCGCGUGCAGUGGGUACGGGCUGACUAGAGUGCAGUAGGGGAGUCUGGAAUUCCUGGUGUAGCGGUGAAAUGCGCAGAUAUCAGGAGGAACACCGGUGGCGAAGGCGGGACUCUGGGCUGUAACUGACACUGAGGAGCGAAAGCAUGGGGAGCGAACAGGAUUAGAUACCCUGGUAGUCCAUGCCGUAAACGUUGGGCACUAGGUGUGGGGGGCAUUCCACGUUCUCCGCGCCGUAGCUAACGCAUUAAGUGCCCCGCCUGGGGAGUACGG